This 707-nucleotide ribosomal RNA is filed under the name alpha proteobacterium SY139. RNAcentral's name for it is "bacterial SSU rRNA". It matches the Rfam family "Bacterial small subunit ribosomal RNA", at positions 65 to 816 of the family's 1533-position model. Lineage: Bacteria; Pseudomonadati; Pseudomonadota; Alphaproteobacteria. The record is from RNAcentral.
AGCGCACCCUUCGGGGUGAGCGGCAGACGGGUGAGUAACGCGUGGGAACGUGCCCUUUGGUUCGGAAUAGCCCUUGGAAACGAGGAGUAAUGCCGAAUGUGCCCUUCGGGGGAAAGAUUUAUCGCCAAAGGAUCGGCCCGCGNUNNNAUUANNUUGUUGGUGAGGUAACGGCUCACCAAGGCGACGAUCUAUAGCUGGUCUGAGAGGAUGAUCAGCCACACUGGGACUGAGACACGGCCCAGACUCCUACGGGAGGCAGCAGUGGGGAAUCUUGGACAAUGGGCGAAAGCCUGAUCCAGCCAUUCCGCGUGGAUGAUGAAGGCCCUAGGGUUGUAAAAUCCUUUCGGCAGGGAAGAUAAUGACGGUACCUGCUAAAGAAGCCCCGGCUAACUCCGUGCCAGCAGCCGCGGUAAUACGGAGGGGGCUAGCGUUGUUCGGAAUUACUGGGCGUAAAGCGCACGUAGGCGGAUCAGUCAGUCAGAGGUGAAAUCCCGGANCUCAACUUCGGAACUGCCUUUGAUACUGCUGAUCUAGAGUCCGGGAGAGGUGCAUGGAAUUCCGAGUGNAGAGGUGAAAUUCGUAGAUNUUCGGAGGAACACCAGAGGCGAAGGCGAUGCACUGGACCGGUACUGACGCUGAGGUGCGAAAGCGUGGGGGAGCAAACAGGAUUAGAUACCCUGGUAGUCCACGCCGUAAACGAUGAGAGC